UGGCGGAACUGGCAGACGCACAGGACUUAAAAUCCUGCGGUGGUUAAACACCGUACCGGUUCGAUUCCGGU
This 71-nucleotide transfer RNA is filed under the name Clostridium neonatale. Its description in RNAcentral is "Pseudo tRNA". It matches the Rfam family "tRNA", at positions 8 to 63 of the family's 71-position model. Rfam says of the family: Transfer RNA (tRNA) molecules are approximately 80 nucleotides in length. Their secondary structure includes four short double-helical elements and three loops (D, anti-codon, and T loops). The record is from RNAcentral. Lineage: Bacteria; Bacillati; Bacillota; Clostridia; Eubacteriales; Clostridiaceae.